CCUACGGGCGGCUGCAGUGGGGAAUAUUGCGCAAUGGGGGAAACCCUGACGCAGCGACGCCGCGUGAGCGAUGAAGGCUUUCGGGUUGUAAAGCUCUGUUCUAAGGGACGAAUGUCUCUGUUGUGAAUAAUGGCAGAGAGUGACGGUACCUUAGGAGAAAGCCCCGGCUAACUACGUGCCAGCAGCCGCGGUAAUACGUAGGGGGCGAGCGUUGUCCGGAAUUACUGGGCGUAAAGGGCGUGUAGGCGGGUGCUUAAGUCAGGUGUGAAAGACCGGGGCUCAACUCCGGGAUUGCACUUGAAACUGGGUAUCUUGAGGGCAGGAGAGGAAAGCGGAAUUCCUGGUGUAGCGGUGAAAUGCGUAGAUAUCAGGAGGAACACCGGUGGCGAAGGCGGCUUUCUGGACUGACCCUGACGCUGAGACGCGAAAGCGUGGGGAGCAAACAGGAUUAGAUACCCCUGUAGUC
This 466-nucleotide ribosomal RNA is filed under the name uncultured Eubacteriales bacterium. Its description in RNAcentral is "bacterial SSU rRNA". It matches the Rfam family "Bacterial small subunit ribosomal RNA", at positions 338 to 795 of the family's 1533-position model. The record is from RNAcentral. Lineage: Bacteria; Bacillati; Bacillota; Clostridia; Eubacteriales.